RNAcentral lists this ribosomal RNA (506 nucleotides) under uncultured bacterium. RNAcentral's name for it is "SSU rRNA". It matches the Rfam family "Bacterial small subunit ribosomal RNA", at positions 26 to 521 of the family's 1533-position model. The record is from RNAcentral.
AGGACGAACGCUGGCGGCGCGCUUAAUACAUGCAAGUCGAGCGAGAACCAGGGCUUCGGCUCUGGGGACAGCGGCGAACGGGUGAGUAACACGUGGGUAAUCAACCCCCGACACCGGGAUAGCCCAGGGAAACUUGGAUUAAUACCGGAUGCUCCGUCUGGCUUUAGGGCCGGCCGGAAAAGGGUAGCUUCGGCCUCCGGUCGGGGACGAGCCCGCGGCGGAUUAGCUUGUUGGUGAGGUAAAGGCUCACCAAGGCGACAAUCCGUAGCUGGUCUGAGAGGACGAUCAGCCACACUGGGACUGAGACACGGCCCAGACUCCUACGGGAGGCAGCAGUAGGGAAUCUUGCGCAAUGGGCGAAAGCCUGACGCAGCGACGCCGCGUGAGGGAAGAAGGCCUUCGGGUUGUAACCUCUUCAGGAGGGACGAAGCCACUCGGGUUAAUAGCCUAGAGGGUGACGGUACCUCCGAGAAGAAGCCCGGCUAACUACGUGCCAGCACCGCGGU